GACGAACGCUGGCGGCAUGCCUAACACAUGCAAGUCGAACGAGACCUUCGGGUCUAGUGGCGCACGGGUGCGUAACGCGUGGGAAUCUGCCCUUCGGUUCGGAAUAACUCAGGGAAACUUGAGCUAAUACCGGAUAAUGACUUCGGUCCAAAGAUUCAUCGCCGAGGGAUGAGCCCGCGUAGGAUUAGCUUGUUGGUGAGGUAAAGGCUCACCAAGGCGACGAUCCUUAGCUGGUCUGAGAGGAUGAUCAGCCACACUGGGACUGAGACACGGCCCAGACUCCUACGGGAGGCAGCAGUGGGGAAUAUUGGACAAUGGGCGAAAGCCUGAUCCAGCAAUGCCGCGUGAGUGAUGAAGGCCUUAGGGUUGUAAAGCUCUUUUACCCGGGAUGAUAAUGACAGUACCGGGAGAAUAAGCCCCGGCAAACUUCGUGCCAGCCGCCGCGGUAAUU
RNAcentral lists this ribosomal RNA (451 nucleotides) under uncultured bacterium. RNAcentral describes it as "bacterial SSU rRNA". It matches the Rfam family "Bacterial small subunit ribosomal RNA", at positions 28 to 525 of the family's 1533-position model. The record is from RNAcentral.